GAUCAGAUAAAUGAAACGUAAGAAAAUGAAUUUUAUGACCAUGAACAAAAUCUUGACAUCAGCUCAAUUUUCUCACCAAUGAAGGCUGAUGAAAUUAAAGAGAUUUAGCAAAGAAUUAAUUUAUACAUGUCAGAUAACCAAUACAAUCAUGGUAACUGUGUAAUACAUGACAAAAAACAACUUCUUGAUUUAUGCUUCAAAAUGGUUUACUUAAUGCUAAAAGUAGUAAGAUUGAUUUUUUAAGAGUUAAGAUAAAUGUGACAGGCAAUUUA
Molecule: long non-coding RNA, 272 nt
Filed under: Bos taurus (domestic cattle)
Lineage: Eukaryota; Metazoa; Chordata; Mammalia; Artiodactyla; Bovidae
Description: long non-coding RNA NONBTAT026598
Source: RNAcentral